This 87-nucleotide transfer RNA is filed under the name Rhodospirillaceae bacterium. Its description in RNAcentral is "tRNA-Leu". It matches the Rfam family "tRNA". Rfam says of the family: Transfer RNA (tRNA) molecules are approximately 80 nucleotides in length. Their secondary structure includes four short double-helical elements and three loops (D, anti-codon, and T loops). Further hydrogen bonds mediate the characteristic L-shaped molecular structure. tRNAs have two regions of fundamental functional importance: the anti-codon, which is responsible for specific mRNA codon recognition, and the 3' end, to which the tRNAs corresponding amino acid is attached (by aminoacyl-tRNA synthetases). tRNAs cope with the degeneracy of the genetic code in two manners: having more than one tRNA (with a specific anti-codon) for a particular amino acid; and 'wobble' base-pairing, i.e. permitting non-standard base-pairing at the 3rd anti-codon position. The record is from RNAcentral. RNAcentral also lists the same sequence under 2 other names. Lineage: Bacteria; Pseudomonadati; Pseudomonadota; Alphaproteobacteria; Rhodospirillales; Rhodospirillaceae.
GCCCACUUGGCGGAAUAGGUAGACGCAAGGGACUUAAAAUCCCUUGUCCGAAAGGACGUCCCGGUUCGAGUCCGGGAGUGGGCACCA